Molecule: ribosomal RNA, 445 nt
Filed under: uncultured bacterium
Lineage: Bacteria
Description: partial 16S ribosomal RNA
Rfam family: Bacterial small subunit ribosomal RNA
Source: RNAcentral
GUGAGGAAUAUUGCGCAAUGGAGGCAACUCUGACGCAGCCAUGCCGCGUGCAGGAAGAAGGCGCUACGCGUUGUAAACUGCUUUUAACCGGGAAGAAACCCCAGGACGUGUCCUGGGUUGACGGUACCGGAGGAAUAAGCACCGGCUAACUUCGUGCCAGCAGCCGCGGUAAUACGAAGGGUGCAAGCGUUAUCCGGAUUCAUUGGGUUUAAAGGGUGCGUAGGCGGAGCGUUAAGUCAGUGGUGAAAUCCUGCAGCUUAACUGUAGACUUGCCAUUGAUACUGGCGCUCUUGAGUGCGCUUGAAGUGGGCGGAAUGUGCCGUGUAGCGGUGAAAUGCUUAGAUAUGGCACAGAACACCAAUUGCGAAGGCAGCUCACUAAGGCGAUACUGACGCUGAGGCACGAAAGCGUGGGGAGCAAACAGGAUUAGAAACCCUGGUAGUCC